GGUUGACCUCGGAUCAGGUAGGAAUACCCGCUGAACUUAAGCAUAUCAAUAAGCGGAGGAAAAGAAACCAACAGGGAUUGCCCCAGUAACGGCGAGUGAAGCGGCAACAGCUCAAAUUUGAAAUCUGGCCUCGGCCCGAGUUGUAAUUUGCAGAGGAUGCUUUUGGCGCGGUGCCUCCCGAGUCCCCUGGAACGGGGCGC
This 200-nucleotide ribosomal RNA is filed under the name Sordariomycetes sp. HMF-071. Its description in RNAcentral is "partial 28S ribosomal RNA". It matches the Rfam family "Eukaryotic large subunit ribosomal RNA", at positions 1 to 203 of the family's 3401-position model. The record is from RNAcentral. Lineage: Eukaryota; Fungi; Ascomycota; Sordariomycetes.